This 414-nucleotide ribosomal RNA is filed under the name uncultured soil bacterium. RNAcentral's name for it is "bacterial SSU rRNA". It matches the Rfam family "Bacterial small subunit ribosomal RNA", at positions 26 to 429 of the family's 1533-position model. The record is from RNAcentral.
AGAUUGAACGCUGGCGGCAGGCCUAACACAUGCAAGUCGAGCGGCAGCACGGGUACUUGUACCUGGUGGCGAGCGGCGGACGGGUGAGUAAUGCCUAGGAAUCUGCCUGGUAGUGGGGGAUAACGCUCGGAAACGGACGCUAAUACCGCAUACGUCCUACGGGAGAAAGCAGGGGUACCUUCGGGCCUUGCGCUAUCAGAUGAGCCUAGGUCGGAUUAGCUAGUUGGUGAGGUAAUGGCUCACCAAGGCGACGAUCCGUAACUGGUCUGAGAGGAUGAUCAGCCACACGUGGGACUGAGACACGGCCCAGACCUCCGUACGGGAGGCAGCAGUAGGGAAUAUGGACAAGUGGGACAAAGCCUGACUCCGAGCAAUCGCCGCGUGAGUGAUGGAAGGUCCGUUAAGGUUAGUAAA